AUUGAACGCUGGCGGCAGGCCUAACACAUGCAAGUCGAGCGGAUGAAGGGAGCUUGCUCCUGGAUUCAGCGUCGGACGGGUGAGUAAUGCCUAGGAAUCUGCCUGGUAGUGGGGGAUAACGUCCGGAAACGGGCGCUAAUACCGCAUACUUCCUGAGGGAGAAAGUGGGGGAUCUUCGGACCUCACGCUAUCAGAUGAGCCUAGGUCGGAUUAGCUAGUUGGUGGGGUAAAGGCCUACCAAGGCGACGAUCCGUAACUGGUCUGAGAGGAUGAUCAGUCACACUGGAACUGAGACACGGUCCAGACUCCUACGGGAGGGCGCAGUGGGGAAUAUUGGACAAUGGGCGAAAGCCUGAUCCAGCCGUGCCGCGUGUGUGAAGAAGGUCUUCGGAUUGUAAAGCACUUUAAGUUGGGAGGAAGCGCAGUAAGUUAAUACCUUGCUGUUUUGACGUUACCAACAGAAUAAGCACCGGCUAACUUCGUG
RNAcentral lists this ribosomal RNA (484 nucleotides) under uncultured bacterium. RNAcentral's name for it is "partial 16S ribosomal RNA". It matches the Rfam family "Bacterial small subunit ribosomal RNA", at positions 30 to 507 of the family's 1533-position model. The record is from RNAcentral.